UGUUAAAAAAUUUAUCCAUUUAUGUGGUUAAAAAUUGACAUAAUUAACAAAAUAAUCAAAAAGUGACAUGUUGCAUGCCACAUGUACCUCAUGCUAAUAUACAUGAACAAUUUCCAACUAUAGAAAUGGAUGACAAUUUUAACA
Gossypium arboreum is the source of this 144-nucleotide non-coding RNA. NCBI's taxonomy places the organism in Eukaryota, Viridiplantae, Streptophyta, Magnoliopsida, Malvales, Malvaceae. The record is from Rfam.